GAUUAGGAUUAUGUUAAGAGUCUGUAUCUACUGUUGGCUAGAUUUUGAACCUAACGGAUUACAUACUUUAAAAUUUGAUCUUGGUCUAAUUUAAUUUAAAUUUAAUAUAAAUUUUAGGGGUUAAUUUGAUAUGCUAGCAUAUUGUGUUAACUUAAGUUCCUAUUAGGUUCAGUUCAAAGCAUUUGAGCUAAAUUAGACCAGUUACCUUUGACCUAAUGGGAUUGGAUCUAUUUUAAUUUGAUUCUUAUCUAACUUAGAAGUGUUUCGAGUGUGAAAAGAGUCCUCU
This 286-nucleotide long non-coding RNA is filed under the name Elaeis guineensis (African oil palm). Its description in RNAcentral is "long non-coding RNA (EGUI_LNC070714)". Lineage: Eukaryota; Viridiplantae; Streptophyta; Magnoliopsida; Arecales; Arecaceae. The record is from RNAcentral.